AUGAACGCUGGCGGCGUGCCUAAUACAUGCAAGUCGAGCGAACGGACGAGCAGCUUGCUUCUCUGAUGUUAGCGGCGGACGGGUGAGUAACACGUGGAUAACCUACCUAUAAGACUGGGAUAACUUCGGGAAACCGUAGCUAAUACCGGAUAAUAUUUUGAACCGCAUGGUUCAAAAGUGAAAGACGGUCUUGCUGUCACUUAUAGAUGGAUCCGCGCUGCAUUAGCUAGUUGGUAAGGUAACGGCUUACCAAGGCAACGAUGCAUAGCCGACCUGAGAGGGUGAUCGGCCACACUGGAACUGAGACACGGUCCAGACUCCUACGGGAGGCAGCAGUAGGGAAUCUUCCGCAAUGGGCGAAAGCCUGACGGAGCAACGCCGCGUGAGUGAUGAAGGUCUUCGGAUCGUAAAACUCUGUUAUUAGGGAAGAACAUAUGUGUAAGUAACUGUGCACAUCUUGACGGUACCUAAUCAGAAAGCCACGGCUAACUACGUG
Molecule: ribosomal RNA, 496 nt
Filed under: uncultured bacterium
Lineage: Bacteria
Description: partial 16S ribosomal RNA
Rfam family: Bacterial small subunit ribosomal RNA
Source: RNAcentral